GUCCCUUGGGGUUCUUGUUAAAAUGCAGAUUUUGAUUCAGUAGGUCUUGGGUGAGUCUGAGAUUCUACAUUUCUAACAAGUUCCUAGGUGAUGCCGA
RNAcentral lists this microRNA precursor (97 nucleotides) under Pteropus alecto (black flying fox). RNAcentral's name for it is "mir-544 microRNA precursor family". It matches the Rfam family "mir-544 microRNA precursor family". The record is from Rfam by way of RNAcentral. Lineage: Eukaryota; Metazoa; Chordata; Mammalia; Chiroptera; Pteropodidae.